Molecule: long non-coding RNA, 1021 nt
Filed under: Olea europaea subsp. europaea
Lineage: Eukaryota; Viridiplantae; Streptophyta; Magnoliopsida; Lamiales; Oleaceae
Source: RNAcentral
GUCCAAUCGAAACUAUUGUUGAAUUAAUGAAAUAACGAAAAUUUAAAUCAUCAAAAGGUUCAUCAAAUUCCUAAUGAAAAAAAACCCUAGCCUAUAAUCAUCAUUACAAAAUCAAGAAAUUGAAAAAUGAAAUUAAAAGAUAAUAAGAAUACACCCGUAUGGAAUUUCUUCAAUCCGUGUGUAUAAUCUUCAAUCCCGUCUCGAGCCCGUGUGAAAUUGAAUCCAAAAUCAAGUUUCUUGCCUCCAAUUUUGGUCUCUCCCUUCUCCCUGGUCGUUCCUCUCCUUAAUAUGAUGAUUUUGAAUAUUUAUAUCGCGUCCAAAUUAAGUAGGGAAGGAGUUUCAACCAAAACGAAAAACUACGCCCGAAAUUUCAAAAUUAACUAUGCGACCGCAUAGAAGGGAUCUAUGCGGUCGCAUAGAUCAUUUUUUUCUCUCAUUUAAUUCCCUGAAACCUUCUAUGCGACCGCAUAGAAGGUUACACUAUGCGGUCGCAUAGAAGUAGCCAUCUAUGUGGUUUGUGCAAUUUGGUCCCUGAACUUCUUUGUUGCUUCUCUUGACUUCUUUCUUCGAUUUCUUCAUCUUUUCAACAAUUCUUAUCUUCCAAUUGAUGAUCGACACUUUCAAAUAUUAUGCCACUCAUUCGGCACAUCUUUUGAGUAUUUGCACUUUAGUCCUCCAACUUUCAAUUAUCUUCAUUUUAGUCCAUCUUCCAUUCUUUCUUCCUCCACUUGUUUUGCUUUGUCAUUGAGCUCAUACUCGGCAUGUUUUUACUCUCGUUCUGCAUUUAGCUCAACUUCUCAAUAAUUGCACUGUUGGUCCUCGAACUAUCAAAUUGUUGCGUUUUGGUCCUUCUUCGGCUCUUUUCUCCUGAAUUCCACAAUUUCCAUUGAAUUACCUACAAUGCAUGAAUUUAACUGGAUUAAGUCACAAUUCAACCAUUUUAUCCAUGUUUAAGUCAUGUUUGUGAACCAAAUAAGUGUGUAAAAACACACUUAUCAAAUCCCCCAAACUUAAACUAUUG